Manis pentadactyla (Chinese pangolin) is the source of this 801-nucleotide long non-coding RNA. RefSeq lists it as uncharacterized. The record is from RefSeq and is a predicted model, not a curated record. Lineage: Eukaryota; Metazoa; Chordata; Mammalia; Pholidota; Manidae. The transcript is spliced from 3 exons.
UUUGCUGACUUCUGAGCUGCCUUAAUAAGUGUGGAUGAAUGCCAGGAACCAGAAAUCCAAAUUUGGGACAAUCAUCCAGAAUUUUUUCAUGUGUUUGGACUGACCCUUGGUUUUCUCUUUACUUUCAUUUUCAAAUGUAUUUUUACUUUCCUUAUGUUGGUUUCUGAAUUCUUCUUAAGAGAGACCUUUGUCCUACCGUAACUGGCCAAGAUAGAGAGGAACUUUGGCAGUUGGUGCGUGGCCUGGUAGCACCUAAAGGAGAACAAGUCUGGAGCUACCAGGAAGGAUGGAGGAGAGAUCAAGAUGGAAAGUGUUGGGCCCAGCUGUGGGCCUGCCUGAGUCUUUCCCCCUAUUCCUUUUGAAUGAGAGGCUGGCAUCAUUUCUCUGCUCUGGAGACUGGCCGUUGGGCUGUCAAAAAUCUUCAGAGGGCAGCUCUUGGCAGCAACACAGAACAAGCACUGGGGACUUUGUCUGCAGAAGCACAUGCUGGAAGUAAUUCUGGGGCACCUGCAAGUUGACAACAUGAGAGAUACUGAAAAUUAAUAGCCCAGUGCCUUCAUCCGAUGGUGUGAGUGGGAGUAAUCAACAAAGCCUGAGAUGGAUGGAGUCGAUGACAGAAGGUAACAGGGAGGAGUACCUGCUUAUUCCAAGAGGCAUUAUGGAUUCAGAAGAGGAAAUCCAGAGAUAACACUUCCUGGAAGUGAAUUCUGACCAUGAGACUCUGGUAAGUAAUUUAACUUCUCUGUGUCUCGUUUUCCACAUAUGUAAAUUGGUGACAAUAAAAAUACUUAGUUCAUGGGG